GCGCCAGUAGCUCAGUGGAUAGAGUAUCUGACUACGAAUCAGAGGGUCGCAGGUUCGAAUCCUGCCUGGCGCACCA
Molecule: transfer RNA, 76 nt
Filed under: Coriobacteriia bacterium
Lineage: Bacteria; Bacillati; Actinomycetota; Coriobacteriia
Description: tRNA-Arg
Rfam family: tRNA
About the family: Transfer RNA (tRNA) molecules are approximately 80 nucleotides in length. Their secondary structure includes four short double-helical elements and three loops (D, anti-codon, and T loops).
Source: RNAcentral